UUGCCCAUUGAAAAUUCGACA
Caenorhabditis elegans is the source of this 21-nucleotide non-coding RNA. The record is from Ensembl. NCBI's taxonomy places the organism in Eukaryota, Metazoa, Nematoda, Chromadorea, Rhabditida, Rhabditidae.